CUGAUGUUUUGUAACAUGGUAUAUCCUAUUCUCUUGUUCAAUUGUUCAGCAGAUAUUUCUAUAACUGUGUCCCCUGGUACUGAUUAUAAGGAGUGAGGAUUACAGAGAUGAGCAAGUAGAUACCAUCUUGCCUUGAAGAGCUUAUAUUCUACUGAGCAGCACACAUAAAAACAACUGAGCUCACCAUGAUCUCAUCACAGCUAAGCAUUGGAGAAAGUGGCUCAUCACGUCACACCCAUGGGCAAAGUCACAUUUCGAGUGGGAAUUUUUAUGUCUAUGAUGGAGAUUAAGGAGCCAUCCAUUCAUUCUCGC
RNAcentral lists this long non-coding RNA (312 nucleotides) under Mustela putorius furo (domestic ferret). RNAcentral's name for it is "lncRNA (ENSMPUG00000031258.1)". Lineage: Eukaryota; Metazoa; Chordata; Mammalia; Carnivora; Mustelidae. The record is from RNAcentral.